Long non-coding RNA from Haliotis rubra (blacklip abalone), 149 nucleotides. RefSeq lists it as uncharacterized. The transcript is spliced from 3 exons. The record is from RefSeq and is a predicted model, not a curated record. NCBI's taxonomy places the organism in Eukaryota, Metazoa, Mollusca, Gastropoda, Lepetellida, Haliotidae.
CCCCUGCAAACCGACCAGUUUGUUUUUACACCCAUCUAAAGGAUCUCGGACCCAUUUGCGCUUGCGGCUCUACACGAAGGCGGUAGCUUGUCUUAACACGAAGAAGUAUGACAGACGACAUACGAGUCAGCUUAGAGAGCGUUGACUGU